GGAGAGGUGCCUGAGUGGUCGAAAGGACUCCCCUGGAAAGGGAGCAUACCCUUUACGGGUAUCGGGGGUUCGAAUCCCCCCCUCUCCG
This 88-nucleotide transfer RNA is filed under the name Candidatus Dojkabacteria bacterium CG_4_10_14_0_2_um_filter_Dojkabacteria_WS6_41_15. RNAcentral describes it as "tRNA-Ser". It matches the Rfam family "tRNA". Rfam says of the family: Transfer RNA (tRNA) molecules are approximately 80 nucleotides in length. Their secondary structure includes four short double-helical elements and three loops (D, anti-codon, and T loops). RNAcentral also lists the same sequence under 2 other names. The record is from RNAcentral.